RNAcentral lists this long non-coding RNA (3031 nucleotides) under Vitis vinifera (wine grape). RNAcentral describes it as "long non-coding RNA (VVIN_LNC002663)". Lineage: Eukaryota; Viridiplantae; Streptophyta; Magnoliopsida; Vitales; Vitaceae. The record is from RNAcentral.
GAUGCAAAAUCUUGAUUUCUCUCCAGUUUCAUACAUUUUCUUGGCAACAAAUGGAGCGUUACUGAAGUGGCGUGGUUAAGGAGAUAGAGAAAGAUCCUCGAAUAUGUAUCAAAAAGGUUUGGUAUUGAACCCUGAAUACAUGAUGAAGCACGCCACUGAAUCCAAUAGGUGUGAUUCAUGAAACAUAGGUGUAGACCCCCAUUUUGGGGCACUUUCUUUCUCACCUUUCAUGCAGGUUAUUUGGCUAGGUGGCACAAUCUCGAGAGACCACGUGGCGUCUUUGGAGAGGCUGACAGAGAAUUAGUGCUUUGAGGAGCUAUCAGAAUUCGACACCUGUAAAGGGGAUUUGGAAAGCUGCAUACUGUAGGGGUAGGGGACCCCCAGCUGAGAGCAGAAGGUCGUCUGCAUGAGGCGUGCAGCUGAAGGGGGUGGUUGAAAAAGCCAUGUUGGCUGACCAGUGAAUAGGACAGAAGAGUGACUUGCGGAAUGGGGAAUAGGGAGGAUGUGGUGAGACGUCGGGGGGAAAAGGAGGUCCUGAUCGGGACAUCUUCCAAGAGAGGUCAUAAAAACAGGGCUCGAAGUCAGGUGAGCUAGGAUCUGCGAGGAAGCUUUUCAGGUAUGGACCCUGUUCAUUACCUUCUCUAUUUUGUUUUUGGAUGUUGAUAAGAUUCUAUUUUGGUGUUUGGAUGCGAGCAUUGAAGAUUUUAUUAUGUUCUUAUGGAAUCUGAGUUCGUUUGCCUCCAUGUUGUGCUUGAUUUCUAACUCGGCUUUCAACUUGUUUACAUCGACUAUUUUAAACUACUCUCCUUUGUUUCUUGAUUGUUUGUGGAUUAUCCUUGAUGCCUGGAGUAUACUUACUCAUUCUCUCUGUUCUGGAAAAUUUUGAGAGAAGAUUCAUCACAUGCUUUUGAUUUGUGGGGUCAUGCCUGCAUUUCUUUCUAUUUAUUUAUUUAUUUAUCAUUCCACCCGGGGAAGAUUUAUGUCCGGUCGGCGUCCCACCUUCUCCGGAUGUCUCACAUCCGAAUUCUGUCUGCCGACAUCCCACUUUCUCCGGAUGUCUCACAUCUGGAAUUCUGUUCGACCGACAUCCCACCUUCUCCGGAUGUCUCACAUCCGGAAUUCUGUCCGGCCGACGUUCCACCUUCUCCGGAUAUUUCACAUCCGACACCUGACGUAGGAUGGGAGAGGAGGGCGAUUCAACUUCCCCGGUCAGACAUGUCCGGAUCCUCUGAUAGCGCUUACUCGGAGAGCAUUCGUAGCCAACAAUUCAGAUUCCCCAAACAGCUUGGCUCGUCAGACACUUGCGAUUCGCCGGAUCCAUUUCCGCCCACAAUCUUCUGCUCCUCUUGAUUUUAAUAGGCAUGAAUGUUUUUUUUUUCAUAAUUCCGGAAUAAUGGAAUCUAUGAUAUUAAUUCAUGCAAAAUAAAUGGGUUUUGGUGGGAGCCCGACAUAUGUGAUUUUAUAAUUGAUUGAUUGAUUGAUUGAUUUAGUUGUCAUGCAUGAUUGUUUCUAUCCUGCCCUAUGACAUGCUUGAAAUUAUUAUUUAAUUAUGCACUAACCCCAUUUUGUGAUAGUGCGUUGUCGUUUGCUAAUCAGGUACGUAUCCGCUUCCACUUUGAUUAUUCUCUAUGCAUAUUUUGAUACUCAUGUGUGCAUGAUUGAUUCGAGUAUUCAUUGUUUUCCUCAUCAUUGCCAUAAUUGCUUCACUUUAUUAGUAGAGACCCGACUUUAGGGGCUUAGAGGGGUGCUACGGUUUUUACCGUACCUUCCCGAUAAGUAACCUGACCCCCGAACCUGAUCCGGUUCUUCACAGACCACCUUUUCCAAAAUAAGGAGUCACACUUAGGGUUUUCUUUUUUAUUUUGUUUGCCCUUUAAAAAUAAAACAAAAAUAAGUGGUGACUCCAAUUCAUUUUUCUUAAUCAAUAAAAUUAAUUUUUCAAAAUAAAAAUCGAGCUCGCCAUCGAGUGGGAAACACAUGAGCCGAAAUACGGGGUCCACAAUAGUCACAUUCUAUAUUUUUAUCAUGAGUAGCCAAUUUCCUCACCAACACUUUUGUUUUAGUUUUAUCCCUUUUUAAAUUUCUAUGUUCUAUGUUCCCUCUGACCACAAAAAAUCAUAGAUAGACUCUAAAUGUUUUAUGAAAUAUGCAACCCAUGUGCAGCAUGCACAAUGUGAUUUUGUGAUUUGUGUAUUUUCCCCUAUUAGAUGCUCUUGUCCUCUAGUAAACAAUUUGAUAGCUUCCAAAAUAUCCUCAUAGAGAUAGCUUUGAUUUUAGUGCAUCCUUUUCCCACAGAGAUGCUCUUUGUGCAUGAUAUAUGAUUUUGCCAUGGGCCAGGGAAAAGCUUGAUCAAUCACAACUAGGGGGACAAAAAAUACCCCAGCAUAUUUGCUAAUGAAGGUGUUGGACAGCUUAAGACUUCCUUGGCAAUAUCAUGUAACAUCCAUGUGCUGCUUGUAGGCAGAAAUAAAUGUAUUAAAUAAUGGUAGUUAUCACCUAUGAGCAUGGGCAUCAAGAACAUCCCAUCCUGUGAAACAGACACUUCAUCCAUUUGGUUUUUGAACUCUUCAAGAUGGGAGAUUCCUGCAGUUUAUCUAGUUUGAGAGGUUCUAGUUUAGGAUAAAGGUAAUUAAACAACUUAGAACUUGAAUUAUCACAGAUUUCUUUGAUCCUCUGCUGAAAAGCUAUGGCAAGGCUUUGUGAGGAAGACCCCUGUUGACACAUGGAGACAAUGAAGAAGACUACUCAUUCUAUGAAGCCAGGUCUAAUUUUUUCGAUCGAUUUCAACUUGCUUGGAGAAGAAACUAUGAAAUUGGGGCUUCUGUUCAUAAGCAUCCUAAUGGGCAAUGCUUGAAAGGAAUGGUUGUUACAUUCUCAUGUUUUCUUCCAAGGUGAAAUCAAUAAAAAUUUAGAAGCAUAUUGUGUUGAGGUUUUGAGUGAUCUGUUAAAGCUGUAUGCUAGCCAAACAAACAUUUGUUCUGUCUUUGUUUCCUUUUAACUACAUAGAGAAUGUUGUCAUCAAUGAAACAAC